AACGAACGCUGGCGGCAGGCUUAACACAUGCAAGUCGAGCGCCCCGCAAGGGGAGCGGCAGACGGGUGAGUAACGCGUGGGAAUCUACCCUUUUCUACGGAAUAACGCAGGGAAACUUGUGCUAAUACCGUAUACGCCCUUCGGGGGAAAGAUUUAUCGGGAAAGGAUGAGCCCGCGUUGGAUUAGCCAGUUGGUGGGGUAAAGGCCUACCAAGGCGACGAUCCGUAGCUGGUCUGAGAGGAUGAUCAGCCACAUUGGGACUGAGACACGGCCCAAACUCCUACGGGAGGCAGCAGUGGGGAAUAUUGGACAAUGGGCGCAAGCCUGAUCCAGCCAUGCCGCGUGAGUGAUGAAGGCCCUAGGGUUGUAAAGCUCUUUCACCGGUGAAGAUAAUGACGGUAACCGGAGAAGAAGCCCCGGCUAACUUCGUGCCAGCAGCCGCCGUAA
RNAcentral lists this ribosomal RNA (447 nucleotides) under uncultured bacterium. RNAcentral's name for it is "partial 16S ribosomal RNA". It matches the Rfam family "Bacterial small subunit ribosomal RNA", at positions 29 to 523 of the family's 1533-position model. The record is from RNAcentral.